CCUACGGGAGGCAGCAGUAAGGAAUAUUGGUCAAUGGACGAAAGUCUGAACCAGCCAUGCCGCGUGAAGGAUUAAGGCCCUCUGGGUUGUAAACUUCUUUUAUCUGGGACGAAAAAAGGGUAUUCUUACUCACUUGACGGUACCAGAGGAAUAAGCACCGGCUAACUCCGUGCCAGCAGCCGCGGUAAUACGGAGGGUGCAAGCGUUAUCCGGAUUUACUGGGUUUAAAGGGUGCGUAGGUGGGCUUGUAAGUCAGUGGUGAAAUCUCCGGGCUUAACCCGGAAACUGCCAUUGAUACUAUAGGUCUUGAAUUAUCUGGAGGUAAGCGGAAUAUGUCAUGUAGCGGUGAAAUGCUUAGAUAUGACAUAGAACACCAAUUGCGAAGGCAGCUUACUACGGAUAUAUUGACACUGAGGCACGAAAGCGUGGGGAUCAAACAGGAUUAGAUACCCUGGUAGUCCACGCCCUAAACGAUGGAUACUCGACAUCAGCGAUACACUGUUGGUGUCUGAGCGAAAGCAUUAAGUAUCCCACCUGGGAAGUACGAUCGCAAGAUUGAAACUCAAAGGAAAUUGACGGCNGAGAGNGCGAGACGACACGAGGGAGGAGG
This 610-nucleotide ribosomal RNA is filed under the name uncultured bacterium. RNAcentral's name for it is "bacterial SSU rRNA". It matches the Rfam family "Bacterial small subunit ribosomal RNA", at positions 338 to 951 of the family's 1533-position model. The record is from RNAcentral.